This 416-nucleotide ribosomal RNA is filed under the name uncultured prokaryote. RNAcentral's name for it is "bacterial SSU rRNA". It matches the Rfam family "Bacterial small subunit ribosomal RNA", at positions 505 to 918 of the family's 1533-position model. The record is from RNAcentral.
GUGCCAGCCGCCGCGGUAAGACGGAGGAGGCAAGCGUUAUCCGGAAUUAUUGGGCGUAAAGCGUCCGCAGGUGGCUCGCUCAAGUCUGCUGUCAAAGACCGGGGCUUAACUCCGGAAAGGCAGUGGAAACUGACAAGCUAGAGGGCUCUAGGGGUAGAGGGAAUUCCCGGUGUAGCGGUGAAAUGCGUAGAGAUUGGGAAGAACACCGGUGGCGAAAGCGCUCUGCUAGGCCGAAACUGACACUGAGGGACGAAAGCUAGGGGAGCGAAAGGGAUUAGAUACCCCUGUAGUCCUAGCUGUAAACGAUGGAGACUAGGUGUGGCCUGUAUCGACCCGGGCCGUGCCGGAGCUAACGCGCUAAGUCUCCCGCCUGGGGAGUACGCACGCAAGUGUGAAACUUAAAGGAAUUGACGGGG